AUGUCGUCGCUGCCCACGGCACCGGGGUUCCCCCCUCUCCGGUUGCGCCGGUACGCCGGGUUCUGGCUGACCGACCGCACGCUCAAGUUCCUCGGCGCGUCGCACGCGCGCUUCAGUCCGAGGCCCACCGACGUGUUACUCGUGAGCUUCCCCAAGACCGGUACCACCUGGCUCAAGGCGCUCGCCUUCUCCGCGCACCUGCCGUCCACCGGGGCCGACCACCCGCUCCAUCGCAACAACCCCCAUGACCUCGUCGGCUUCCUCGAGCUCGCUGGGGAAGACGAUGAUGGUCUGAUCUACGAGGGGAUCCCUUCUCCGCGUUUGCUUGCCGCCCACCUGCCCUACUCCCUGCUGCCCCACGGCAUCACGGACGGCUCCGGCGGCCGGAUCGUGUACGUCUGCCGGGACCCCAAGGACACGCUUUUCUCCUUCUGGCACUUCCACGAGAAAACCACGGCGACGCUGCAGCGGAUGGCCGACGACGGCGGCGCGUCGUCCGCCAUGCCGACGUUCGAGGAGGCGUUCGAGCUCUUCUGCAAGGGUCAGAGCAUGGCGGGGCCACAGUGGCGCCACGCGCUCGAGUACUGGGAGGCGAGCCGUCUGAGCCCCGAUCAGGUGCUGUUCCUCAGAUACGAGGACAUGCUGCGUGACCCGGAGGGAAGCCUGAGGAAGAUGGCGGUGUUCAUGGGGUGCCCCUUCUCUCCGGAGGAGGAGGAGACCGGGGUGGUGCGCGACAUCGUGGAGCUCUGCAGCUUGGGGAUGCUCAAGGGGCUUGAGGUCAACAGGAGCGGGCGCACGAUGCUGGGGCUCAAGAACGAGGCCUUCUUCAGGAACGGCACGGUGGGGGAUUGGAGCAGCUGCAUGACGCCGGCCAUGGCGGCGCGGCUGGACGGGAUCGUGGCCGAGGCGCUGGAGGGCUCCAUGCUUUUUUUUUUGAAAGAAAAGGUAGAUCAUGUUCUACCUUAUGCAUUCAAAACAGGCCGUAGCCUGAGUGACCAAUGA
This 1002-nucleotide ribosomal RNA is filed under the name Triticum aestivum (bread wheat). Its description in RNAcentral is "partial small subunit ribosomal RNA". The record is from RNAcentral. Lineage: Eukaryota; Viridiplantae; Streptophyta; Magnoliopsida; Poales; Poaceae.